This 465-nucleotide ribosomal RNA is filed under the name uncultured bacterium. RNAcentral's name for it is "partial 16S ribosomal RNA". It matches the Rfam family "Bacterial small subunit ribosomal RNA", at positions 338 to 795 of the family's 1533-position model. The record is from RNAcentral.
CCUACGGGAGGCUGCAGUGGGGAAUAUUGCGCAAUGGGCGAAAGCCUGACGCAGCGACGCCGCGUGAGGGAUGAAGGUCUUCGGAUCGUAAACCUCUGUCAGCAGGGAAGAACGGUCACUGUGCUAAUCAGCAGUGAAUUGACGGUACCUGCAAAGGAAGCACCGGCUAACUCCGUGCCAGCAGCCGCGGUAAUACGGGGGGUGCGAGCGGUAAGCGGAAUUACUGGGCGUAAAGCGCUCGUAGGCGGUAUGUCAAGUCAAGGGGGAAAUCCCCGCGCUCAACGGUGGAACUGCCUUGGAAACUGGCAAACUGGGGGGUGUGAGAGGAUAGUGGAAUUCCAGGUGUAGGGGUGAAAUCCGUAGAUAUCUGGAGGAACAUCAGUGGCGAAGGCGACUAUCUGGCACAUAACUGACGCUGAGGAGCGAAAGCGUGGGUAGCAAACAGGAUUAGAUACCCGAGUAGUC